This 488-nucleotide ribosomal RNA is filed under the name uncultured bacterium. Its description in RNAcentral is "partial 16S ribosomal RNA". It matches the Rfam family "Bacterial small subunit ribosomal RNA", at positions 28 to 507 of the family's 1533-position model. The record is from RNAcentral.
GAUGAACGCUAGCGGCAGGCCUAAUACAUGCAAGUCGGACGGGAUCCAUUGAUAGCUUGCUAUCAAUGGUGAGAGUGGCGCACGGGUGCGUAACGCGUGAGCAACCUGCCUCCAUCAGGGGGAUAGCCUCUCGAAAGAGAGAUUAACACCGCAUAAUAUCAACAGUUCGCCUGUUCAGUUGAUUAAAUAUUUAUAGGAUGGAGAUGGGCUCGCGUGACAUUAGCUAGUUGGUAGGGUAACGGCUUACCAAGGCGACGAUGUCUAGGGGCUCUGAGAGGAGAAUCCCCCACACUGGUACUGAGACACGGACCAGACUCCGACGGGAGGCAGCAGUAAGGAAUAUUGGUCAAUGGGCGGAAGCCUGAACCAGCCAUGCCGCGUGCAGGAUGACUGCCCUAUGGGUUGUAAACUGCUUUUGUCCAGGAAUAAACCUAAAUACGAGUAUUUAGCUGAAUGUACUGGAAGAAUAAGGAUCGGCUAACUCCGUG